UGGGGAAUAUUGGACAAUGGGCGAAAGCCUGAUCCAGCCAUGCCGCGUGUGUGAAGAAGGCCUUUUGGUUGUAAAGCACUUUAAGUGGGGAGGAAAAGCUUAUGGCUAAUACCCAUAAGCCCUGACGUUACCCACAGAAUAAGCACCGGCUAACUCUGUGCCAGCAGCCGCGGUAAUACAGAGGGUGCAAGCGUUAAUCGGAAUUACUGGGCGUAAAGCGCGCGUAGGUGGUUAUUUAAGUCAGAUGUGAAAGCCCCGGGCUUAACCUGGGAACUGCAUCUGAUACUGGAUAACUAGAGUAGGUGAGAGGGGAGUAGAAUUCCAGGUGUAGCGGUGAAAUGCGUAGAGAUCUGGAGGAAUACCGAUGGCGAAGGCAGCUCCCUGGCAUCAUACUGACACUGAGGUGCGAAAGCGUGGGUAGCAAACAGGAUUAGAUACCCUGGUAGUCCACGCCGUAAACGAUGUCUACCAGUCGUUGGGUCUUUUAAAGACUUAGUGACGCAGUUAACGCAAUAAGUAGACCGCCUGGGGAGUACGGCCGCAAGGUUA
Molecule: ribosomal RNA, 549 nt
Filed under: uncultured bacterium
Lineage: Bacteria
Description: bacterial SSU rRNA
Rfam family: Bacterial small subunit ribosomal RNA
Source: RNAcentral